RNAcentral lists this long non-coding RNA (243 nucleotides) under Carica papaya (papaya). RNAcentral describes it as "long non-coding RNA (CPAP_LNC013057)". Lineage: Eukaryota; Viridiplantae; Streptophyta; Magnoliopsida; Brassicales; Caricaceae. The record is from RNAcentral.
UAACAUUCUAUCACUGUCAUCAGGAAUAAGAGAUAUGUAUGUGGGCCUUGCUGCGCAUAUGCAUGGUGUGCGCAUGUGGGUUGCCCAUAGGUGCGACAUCCUUGGGUCAUGGUCCAUCUUGGCCAUAAGGCCUUUAGGCCUUCUCGUGUUUUGCCUAAAACUUGGAUUUCCUUUUAAUUCUUCAAGCCCAUUAAUCUUACUUGGGCCUUAAGUUUCCUUUGGAAAAACUUGGUCUAUCUCUUG